RNAcentral lists this long non-coding RNA (14578 nucleotides) under Solanum lycopersicum (tomato). RNAcentral's name for it is "long non-coding RNA (SLYC_LNC000814)". The record is from RNAcentral. Lineage: Eukaryota; Viridiplantae; Streptophyta; Magnoliopsida; Solanales; Solanaceae.
GAUACAAGACUCGACUACACACGAUUUUAAAAGAAACACAGGAAAACAGAAAGUAACAACUGAUAUAAUAUAAUCAAUCGUCAAAUUUCGAAACAAGACUCGAGUACAUACGAUUUUAAACGAAACACAGAAAAAAGAGAAAGUGACAACUGAUACAACAUAGAAAGAAAGGAUCCAUAAGCAAGAUCAAUGCUAUCUAUCUUAUUCUUAAUUCUCCUCAUGAAACCAAAUUCUGAUGAUCAGCUUUACUGAACUCUGCAUUGAUAAUGAACAAAACCAACAUUAAUAAUAAUAAUGAUGAUAACAAAAACAUAAUGUACUAACUAUAAUAGUAUUUUUUUUAUUAUAUAAUUACAUAUAUAAAUAUUUUGAAACUAAUAUUUCUUAACAGUAAAAUAUAAAUAAAAAAAUGCACUUAUUUUUUGAGAAAACCAAACACACUUGUAGGUGCUAGCACAUAUCAUUUUUUUGUUACUUUAUUUUUCAUACUACGAAGAGUUAGGUGUUGUUAUAGGUAAAAAAAGAUGAAAAAUUUAACAUACUUAGAGCAGUCAGUAGAGGGGCUGAUCUUGUAAGGGAUGUUGACACUACAAGUGUUAGGGAGAGCAGCAGCUUUGCCCAAAUUGAGUCCUGUAAAAGAAGAAGCAGCUGAUUUUAGGCAAGUGCAUGCGGCCUGUCGGUCUACUGUAGUCUUGGCUUGACCCAAAAGACCCUUAACACCAUCACAACAGUUUCUGAGAGGACCGCGGUUCAUUAGAUAAGGGAGACAAGGAGCCAAGGUAGAUGUAACUUGACCACAAGUUAAAGCCUCUGCAUGGGGUGCAACCACUACCAUGCAUAAAAGCACAAAGCAUGCAAUCUUGUUAACCAUUUCCAUUCUUAAUGAUUUAUGAAAAUUAGAAUAGUAAUUAUGAGGUUUAUGAGGAAGUAGUGGAUGAGAAGAAAUGUGUUUUGGUUGAGUGUUUUUAUAGAGGGAAAUUUGGAGUAGAUGGCCAAUGGAGGAGUGAGAGAGGUAGUUGGUUGUUAGGUUGAAAAUUUAAAGCAUUUUUAUGGUUGUACAUUAUUUUGCUGGCUCUAAAGUCAUGUGGUAGCUAGUUCUAACAUCUUACGUGUAGGAGUUUUUUUUUUCUCACCAAAGUUCCCAUAAAUAGAUUCCUCGAUCAAUGUAGGACUUUUACCUACUUUAAUAUCCCUUUUUUUACGUAGAUCCAAUUGAGAUGUGGAUCGAAAAUUCAAACAGGAAUGAAUAUAACUCUAAUAUCAUGUUAAGAUAUGUUUUUUAGAUCUAAUUUAAUAAUAAAUGCUAGCUUAUGAGAGGAGUAUUGUCCACAUCCUUAUAAGUAAAUCAUCAGUUUAUUUCCUGAUUAACGUGAGACUUUUACCUACUCUAACAGUUUGAUCGAAGAUUUUUUUUAAAAAAAAAUUAUGAAGUUAUAGAGUUAAAGAUGAAAUUGUAUUGGAUAAUACUUUUACGAAAGAAUAAAAAUGAUGUGAUUAUAGCUUUAAAAAUAAAAAAAAUAAUUAAGAUUUUAAAUACAACUUCAAGUUAAAUAUUUUACGACCAUAAAUUUAAAUUUGGGAAGUGACGAAGUUUAUUUUACUUCUGGCGUUCUUAGCUGGAUUACAACAACGUUUAAUUAAUCAAGGUCUUCAUUAGUGUUUAGACACUUAACCACCCAAGUCUUUAAUGCUUUUUCUACUUACCAGCUUUAUCUCUUAAAAAUUGAUACAAAAUGACUACGUAUUAUAUUUUAUAAAGUUGAAAAUGUGUUCCAUUUUCUUUUUCAAAAUUAUCCUUAACACGUUCCUUAUUAAAUGUAUACAUUUAGAAAUAAUCAUAUCAAUACACGAUCAAUAGUUAUAACGUAUACUUGUUUCUUAGUAUUUCUUAACCCUUUAAUCACCAAAGAUGACGGUGGUUUUAUAAAUAGGCAUUUCAUUAAUAUAGAUUUUGAGUUUAAAUCAUAUUAAUUAUAAAGUCAUAUUAGUCAUUUUUUUAUGGUACCAACACUACAAUUAAUUACCGCUACAAUAUGCAUUUUUAGCGGGAAUUUAACACUCUUUAUAUAUGUUUCUAAAGUCUUUAGCGACAUUGAUUUUAACGACAUUUAACUAAUGCAGGUAAAGACUUUAACACUCUUUGUUAAUGUCAGCAUUUAUUACCGUCAAAAGCUGUUUUUUGUGGUAGUGCAAUUUAGGAUAAAAAGUCUUACAUCGAUCAAAUACAUGAAAGAUACUUUUCGUUUUUUAAGAGUCAAACAAUUUAAGUUUGACUAGUAAUUUACACACGGAAUUUUCUUUUUAUUGAAAUGAAAUGUAUAUAUAUACUUAUAAACUACGUAAAAGUAUUAUAAGUCAUAAUUCAAAAUAUUUUUAAAAUGUAUAAAAAAUUUACGAUUAAAAUAGAUUUGUUUGAAUCUCGAUAUUCAAAAAGUGUCACAUAAAAUGAGACGAAUGGAAUAUAUAUAUAAUACGUUAGUGAUGCGUUAUAAAAUUAUAUGGGCUUAAAUCUAAAAUGGACAAUAUUACUAAUGACUUGAACCUUUAAAAAUGAUAUCUGUUCAACUCAUGUGUCAUCUUUAUUGAUAUAUAUGGACCAAAGCUCUACAUAUAGGCAAAAUCUCAUGUGGUGGAGUAAACCACUGCGUCUAUAUAAGAGGAGGUGCAUGUGAAACCCCAGAUAAAAAGUGUAACAUCAACAAAAUCAAUUGAUGAAAACAUAAAUUAUAUAAAUAAGCAAAUUUUACAUUUUAAUGACAUAUUUUAAAAUCGCGCAGACCUAGAUUUAACUAGAUUCAGGUAGGAAAAAAGAAACAGAACCUGACACUUUGACGUUUCUUAUAUGUUGCACAAAGUGUUGAUUGCUAAUUGGACCACGAAUUCAGCUAUAUUAUUACAUGCUUUCUCUUGGUCCAUGUAGUAUAAAUUUGUGUCGGUCCCAAUAUUAAUUUGGUAGAAGUUGAGUAAAGAUUUGAGCCACCCAAACUCAUUAAUUAGGCCAAACAAGAGGAAAUUUCUUUGAGACAUAUAGUCUUACCUAGAGGCCUAUAAUUUGGUGUAUAAUGUGGGGAUAUGUUUCACAUGUAUGAGUAUUAUAAAGUUUAUAUAAGUUUUAUAUAAAUGAUUUUCUUUAAGAUAAUAAAAUAAUAUUUACUGACCUUUCCAGAUUGGAUUAUUUUUUGACCUAUAAUUUUAGGUUGAUUUUCUCUGAGUUGUUUCAUAUAUCAAUUUUGACUAUUUGUUUAAAUAGUGUAUUAAUAAUACGAGGUUGUGUAUUGAUUGGUGUGGUUCGAUUUGAGAAUUUAUCAGUUUUAUUUAUUGAUUAUUGGUUUGUAAUCAUAUUUUAACCGUUAUUGAACAGUUAAAAUAUUAAUUUAUCGAUUAUUGGAUUAUUAGUUAGUGAUCGCUAUCGAUUUGAUUAUUGGAUUAACAGUUCAAACAAUUCCCAUUGAGAAUUACUAAUGGACUAAUCACUCAUUACAAUACGCAGUAGUCAGUAGUCACUAUGAACUUUCCCCGGUUAGUCUAUCUACAUAAAAUACUUAAUGAAACUCCAUAUUAAUUCAAAUAGAGAUGUCAAUAUUGCCCAAACUAGCAAAUUCAAAAGGAUUUCUCAUAACAACCAAGCCAAUUUUGAUAUGAACUAUAAAGAGAAACCAUUACGACACUGCUAACAAAAAUCAUUAAUGAUCAUGAGACUUACUAAUAAAAGCUUUUUCGUUUGCAAAUUCUAGCAUAGGGCGAUAUACAGACAUAUCUCAUUGACUCACUCACUGUAACUAGAAGAUAAAAACAAACACUUAAAGUAAGGGAACCAACCAUCUUAACCUCAAUUUUAGACACUUAGAAAAUGCUAUUCAGUAUAACUUUUUGGCGUGGGAGCAGUGACAGUGAAUUAAUGAGUGAUGUCGCAACUCUAAAAAUUCCUAAGGCCUUAAGUGAUAUAAAUGUAAGAUACUAAACUUGUUAUUAGGUUAUCACGACACUCAAUUAGAAAUAUGGCUAAACCGAAAUCCAAAUCGGUAAGACGAUGAAAAGUUUAUAAUAAAUUGAGAUUCGAACCGUUAAAUUAUUAAUCUGAAUCUUUGACCCAAUAAUAAAUAUCAAUCUCGAUUUGAUUUGAUCAGCUCUAUGGUGAUAUUUCAAAUAAAAAUCAUGAAGUUAAAUUAAAAAUUGUUGUUUUUUAAGUUGCCACCUAAUGCAUGGAAGAACUUGAUUAAAAAAGUGUCACGACCCAAAUCCGGGCCGCGACUGGCACCACACUUACCCUCCUAUGUGAGCGAACCAACCAAUCUAACCUUAACAUUUCAAUAUAAUAUCAACAGAAAGUAAUGCGGAAGACUUAAACUCAUUAAAUAAAGACCAAUUCAUUAACUUCUAAAAUUCAACAUCUAUUAUUCCCCAAAAUCUGGAAGUCAUCAUCACAAGAACAUCUACGAUCAAACGACUAAACUAAGAGUAUUCUAAAAGCUAAAAAUACAUAAGAAGCUAGUCCAUGCAGGAAGUUCAAGGCAUCAAGACUUGAAGAAGAAGAUCCAGUCCAAGCUAGAAGCAUUAGCUCACCCUGAAUUUCCGAUGUAGCAAGACUGACUUGAAUUACUGUUGAGUUGAAGACGAUGGCACGUUUGCUGCACUCCACAAAUAAACAAGAAGAGAACAUAAAAGUAGGGGUCAGUACAAAACACGGGUACUGAGUAGAUAUCAUCGGCCAACUCAAAAUAGAAAUCAAUAUAUACCAAGUAAUAUCAUAAAAUCAACUAUGAUACUCAACAUGUAGCAACAACAAAUACUAUAUCGUUAACAAUUACCGUCAAGUUCACACAUGAGGACUCAAGCCUCGAUACCAUACUCAUUUGGGAAUCAUGUUCAUUAGAUUGAGUAUAUUAACAUCUUUCAAGAUUCAUUAUCUUUAUUUCUCUGUGUCGGUACGUGACACUCCGCUCCCUCAAUAUUCAUUAAUCCUCUUGUGUCGGUACGUGACACUCCGAUCCCCUAAAUCUAUGUGUCGGUUCGUGACACCCGAUCCCCUAAAUCUAUGUGUCGGUUCGUGACACCCGAUCCCCUAAAUCUACGUGUCGGUUCGUGACACCCGAUCCCCUAUACUACGUGUCGGUUCAUGACACCCGAUCCCUAAAUCUAUGUGUCGGUUCGUGACACCCGAUCCCCUAAUUCUACGUGUCGGUUCGUGACACCCGAUCCCCUAAUACUACGUGUCGGUUCGUGACACCCGAUCCCCUAAUUCUACGUGUCAGUUCGUGACACCCGAUCCCGAGCCAUCCAAUGGUUCGUGCACACGACUCAUAAUCUCUAUGUCGGUUCGUGACACCCAUCCCCAAAUGUCUACGUGUCGUGUUUCGUGACACCCGAUCCCCUAAUCUAUACGUUGUCGGUUAUGACACCCUCCCUUCACGUGUCAGUUCGUGACACCCGAUCCUACUUAAUUCUACGUGUCGGUUCGUGACACCCGAUCCCUAAUCUCCUUCCAUCAAUUCAUCAAGCCUUCUUUCUCAAUUGUAUCUCAAAAAUGAGAAUUAAUUCUCAAUUGUGCUAAACGUGUAUUUUUAGCGGCAAUUGACACUCUUUGUAUCUGUCCCUUAAACUUUUAAACGACAUUGGUUCUAAUGAAACUUAACUAAUGUCGGUAAAGACUUUAACACUCUUUAUUAGGCCUCAUUUGUUUGCACUUAAUGGAGGUCUGAAUCUAAAUCAUUCAAAUUCAGCUUAUUAAGUACAUUUGGUUUUAGGUUUGAAUCUCAAUCAGCCCAUUAAGUUCAUUUGUUUUAUUUUUAAAAAGCCUCUUAAUGGGUCUGAAGAGGUCUGAAUGAAUCAGAUCUGUAGGAGACUCUUAACAACAUUCAGAUUUGUUUAAUAAGUUAUCAAAUAAUAAAUAUCGCUUCUCUACUUUAACCGUGCUUUUUAUCGCAUAACUAAAAACUUUGUUUUUCUCUUUUCUCAAUCAAACGUCAUUUUCCCCUUCUUGAACUGAUAAAUUUUCAUAAAUCUUUUCAAGUUUUUUUUUAUAUUAAUAAUUUUCUUGUAUUGACUGUGUCAAAAACAUUGUUGGUGUAUUAGCUAGCGUUUAUCAAGGUUUUUGAAUGAAAAAAAUUUCCAAAAUCAUGAUUAUUAAAACUUUUUAUUAUCAAAAGCGAUAUAUUUUGUUGAAAUGAAUUUUUAUUAUUUUUAUUAGUUUAAUGUUAAUUUCACAUGCACAUUCAGAUAUUGAAAACAAACAAUAUUAAUUAUUUAGUGUUCAGAUUUAGAGACCACAUCUUAAUAUUCAGAUGUGUAUUCAGAUCAAAGUACCUGAAUCUUAAUAUUCAGAUGUGUAUUCAGAUUCAGACCUCUUAGUCUGGCUGGAAACAAAUAAGGCCUUCCGCUAUUUUUGUUGUAGUGAGUGGUAAUUAAUUAAAAUUAUAGUUAUAUAAACUAAUUAGCUAGUAUAUGUUUGCUUAACUAUACUAUUUUCCCAAAUAAGUUUAUAUUAUCCAUCAUAAAAUAUAAAUAACCACACGUAUUAGAAUGUAUAAAAAUAAUGUACAAUAGAGUAUAUUAGUAACACUUAUAUAUUAGUAAUAUUUGUAUUAGUUAUGCUUGCAUUAGCUAUAUAUAACUUUUUAUUUAUGCAUUGUUUGGUUUGAUGUAUUAAAAAUAGUACGCAUUGUAUAAUUAUAUUUAUUUACAAAAUAGUCUCCACAAUUAUGACGGAAAAAACGUAAAAUGUUUUUAGGGUCAAUUGGGUCUUUAACCAUAUUAAUACACAUAAAAAUUAAGAAAUUGACGCGACUCCUUAAAAAGGGCAUGUAAUUACAGUGGGCGCGAAAUGGCGUGAGCAUAUGUGAUGAUUCCCCAACUCAAUGCGGAGGAGCUCGUAAAGUUUGCUGAGAAAGUUUUUUGUGUGCUUUGAGCGCAAGAUCCAUGGGUUACCACAUAUGAAAAAUUAAGGAAUUUCUGUAAUUCCUAAAAAAAGGGCCUGUGGGUGUGGAAAUGAGCAAGAAAAUAAUAGCAUGAGCAUACGUGAUAGGUCCCAACUCAUGAAUUUGGAGGUCCUCAUAAAAAAUUUUCAAAUUUUUUUUGCGUGCUCAUGGCUAAAGAUCUAUGGAUAAUACAAAUAGAAAAUUGUGGAAUUUAAGCUAUUUCAAAAAUGGGCCUGAAGAUGCGGAUAUGAGUGAGAAAAAAAUGGUGUGAUCAUGCGCGAUGGUUCCCAACUCAAUAUAGAGGUCAUCCUACAAUUUUCUUAGAAAUUUUUUGAGUGCUCCAAGCGCCAAAUCUAUGAGCUAAUACAUAUAAAAAAAUUGAAGAAUUCACGCGAUUCACAAAAAUGACAUAUGGAUGCGAAAAUGUGCGCGAAAAAAAUGGUGUGAGCAUACAUGAUGGUUCUGCAACUCAAUACGGUGGUCCUCAUAAAGUUCUUUCAGAAACAUCUUUUGGGUGCUCCAAAAGUCAGACCCAUAGGCUAAUACACACAAAAAUUGAAGUAUUUGCGUGAUUUCAGAAAAGGCAUGUAUAUGCAAAAAUGGGAGAAGAAAAUGGUGUGAAUAUAUAUACGUGAUGGUUCCCAACUCCAUACGGAGAUCCAUAUAAAGUUUUUUGAGAAAAUAAUUUUUGGUGCUCCGAAUAUAUCGUCUGUAUGGUUGCUACGGAGCAUCUGAUUUGUAUAGAUCGACAUAUCAUUUGUAUUAAAGCGCAAUGAUUGUAUAUAUAUAACUAUAACAGAGGAGGAGGAGGGACUAGGGAAGAGGAGGAGGAGGAGGAGGAAGUUGUCUCAAUGUAUUUGAUAAAAUAGUUUUUGUGAUAAGAGGCGGACCCACCCUUUUAGGUAGGGUGCACGUGCACUUGUUAAUUUCGGUAAAUAAAAUCAUGAGUUUGUGAGUGUAUGUGUGUGUAUUGAUAUAUAUUGAAAAAUUGAGAGAAAUUAGAAUAUAAUUAACGUACUCAUCAUAAAAAGCAUAAGUAUAUAUGUUAUUGUGCUGCCGGUACAAGCUAAAGUAUGCACAUGCAAGACUUGAAUUUGAAUCUAGCUAGAGUGUUGUUUCACUUUUUUUUAUGUUAAGCUUAUCAUAGAGGCUAAAGCUUAUAUUUGAGCUAAGGUAAUAUUGGUGCACCAACUUCAAAUUCCGAUUCGCCUUUUGCAGCAUUAGUUAUUUUUAGCCAAUACGAUAACUAAAAUGGAUCGGAGGGAAUAUCAUGAUUUGAAUAAAGGAUCUAACCAGAGUCAAAUUUAAAAUAUAUUGAUGAAAUUUCUAAAAUUCCAACGUUAUAUCAUCCUUUUCUUAAGAAUUACCAAAUCAUAAUUAGAGUUGAGAAAAAUUUAAAGCAGAAAAUAACAUGUAUUACUAUAUGAAGAUUGGGUUGUAACAUAAGCAACCACCAAUGUUCAUUACAAGACUCGACAAUAUAUAAGUACUCCAAAUUACAAAAGAAAAGAGACAACAUAUAUAUAUAUAUAUAUAUAUAUAUAUAUAUAAUGAUGGAUCAAACUCGAUAGAUAAAUCCAUCUUAUUCUUCAUCUCCACAAGCCAGAUUUAGCUUUCAUCAACCUUACUGGACCCUGCAAUGCAAUAUUAAAUCAACAUUAAAUAUAUAGUAUGCGCGUACACACAUAUAUAUAUCGUUUUGUAACAUAUAAGUUUAAUCAAUAGUCAGACAUAUAUAAAUUACAAAUAAAAGAGAUAUUAUACUGUCAAUUGAAUAAGUAUAAUCACCGUACGUUGAGCAAUCAGUGGAAGGGCUGAUCUUGUAAGGAAUGUUGACUCCACAAACUCCAGGGAGCCCAGCGGCUUUUCCUGUAUCAAUGCCCUUAAUAGAAUUAGCUGCCGAUUUAAGGCAAGUGCACGCUGUCUUCCGGUCUUCUGGGGUCUUGGCUGCGCCCAAUAGACCCUUAACACCACCACAACACCCUCCUAGAGGGCCGCGACCCUCGAGAUAAGGGAGACAAGGAGCCAAGCCAGACGUAACCUCGCCGCAGCUCAGUGACUCUGCAUGGGGUGCAACCACCACCAUGCAAAAAACCACAAAGCAUGCAAUUUUUCCAAACAUUUCCAUUCUUAUAAAAAAAUUGAGUAAAGAUUAUAGAUAUAGUAGUACAAUUGUAUUUGUUUUGUGUGUUAGGUGUAAAAGCUAGUGAGUAUUUAUAGAGAGGAAAUUAGUGGAAUUAAAAAUGAGAGAAUUAGUUGGGAGUUAAGAGUUAAAUGAAAUGAGUAUAAAGUCAAAUUUCGUUUGUUACGUGACUAAUUUUUAUUGAACCACGCUAUACACGAUUUAAGGCCCAAUCCACAAAUUGUCCCAAUACUACUUUUCCUGUUACAGUGACGAAGUCAGAAAAUUUAAUUUAUCGUAAUCUUUUUCUUAAAAUAAUGUGUGUUCGAUGGCUCUACUCAUGCUUUGAAUCAUUUUAUUUUUUAUUCUUUAUGGUAUAAAGUAAAUGUUUUUUUUUUAGAAAAAAAAAAAAUACAAGGAGAAGAGUGGUUAUUAAAUAAAGAAGAGUAAUAAAUAAGGAGAAGGGUGGGAUGUAAAAAAGUCAUAAUACAUGAAAUUGAUUAAACAAUGUCUCGAGUACAAACUAAGGAGACAGAGUACCUUACUGUUAGAUGUGGAAAUAUUAUGGUACAUGAGUUAAUUUUGAAACAAAUGACCCAUUAAUUUCUUUUAAAAAUUGGAUUUAAGGUGUAAUGUUUAUUUAUUUAAAUAAAUCAAUUUGCUUUCAUGACUUUUUUUUUUUAAAAAUGAGUUUAAGGUGUAAAGUUUAUUACUUAAUUAUAAAUGAUUAAAUAUUUUUUGUAUGUUCAAUACAAAUGCUUGUUUCCGGUCAAAAAGAUCAUGAAAAAAGUAUACAAAAUAAUUAAACCUAUAGCAAAAUUAUAAUUAUGUGUUAUAGUUAUAAGUUGCAUAAUUUGCUCACCAUAGCGAAUAUGCUAUGGCUAUUUCGCUACAUAUAUAUAUAUAAAAGAAUUUAAGAUAUAUAUAUUUAUAUAUAUAUAUAUAUGUGUGUGUGUGUUAUAGUUAUAAGUUGCAUAAUUUGCUCACCAUAGCGAAUAUGCUAUGGCUAUUUCGCUACAUAUAUAUACAAAAGAAUUUAAGAUAUAUAUAUAUUUAUAUAUAUAUAUAUAAUAAUAUAUAUUUGCAUAAAUUAUUGUCCGUCUCUCGUGGCUGCCUUUCAAUUCAAUUUAUGUGUUUGUAUAUCUGUAUAUAAUUUGAAUUUGUAUACAAUUUAAUCGAAAUAAAAAUGUUGGUAAUCAAUCAAAAAUUGCUCUCUGUUAUACAUUGUAUUUUAUAUAAUCUAUACUUCUAUAAAGCGAGAAAGAGAAAGACAAAAGAGACCUAAGCAUGAGAAUAUUUGGAUUGUAUAAUUAUAAGUGUAUAGAACAAAAAUAUUUGUAUUUGCAUGUGUACAUACAUUUUCUUCCGCUUUGUACAAACAGAAACACAUUCAAAUAUUAUAAUCGUUAAAGUCAAAGUUACAACGGAAAAUGAAACUAACAAGAAAAUCGUAAAACGAUAAUGAACUAGUAAAACAAAGAAACCAUUGAAGAAGAGACUACUAGAAGGGAGAUGAGAAACACAGACUCAAAAAAAGGAAUGAGAGGACUAGACACUUUUCUACAAUAAUUUACGUAAUCCCUAAAUCACGUAUUACUUAUAUUGAAAGUUCGAACCGUUUUAUACCCACUACUCAAUUCGAAUCCCAAAUUAACCUGGUCCUAUAUUUUUAGCCCAAUAACAACUUAUAUGACAUUAAUAUCUAUAUUUGGUUAAACUUGAUUCAUAACAUAUUGCUCCUACCCAUAUUUUUAUUUUGUUGUGAAUUGAUAUUAAUUACUUUAUAAGCUAUUUUUAAAAAGGAAUAUGUUUAUUAUAAAAUGACAUUACAAACUUAAAAUAAUUUGUCAAAAAAAUUUAAAAAUUUGAGGCACACUAGAUGUGUACCGUGUUGUGAUAGAUGGGUUGUGUAGAGAGAGGAGAUUUACGAAAGCACAAAAUUGUUUGAUAACAUACUUUUUAAUUUGCUUUUAUAAUCCUCUUUUUUUAGAAAUAUUUUAUUUUUAGUUUUUAGGUAACAUGUUUAAGGUCAUAAUAAGACUAAAUGUCGUUUUGAUAUAUUUGACAUAACUUCAAUUUAGGAUCACAAGAUUAAAUUAUCUUUUUAAACUUUGUAUCAAGUUAAAUUAGAUUGUUAUUUUUUUGAAAUGAGAGAAAAUGAUCAAAUGACCCCUUAACGACGUAUAACCGGAUUUUCAACUAUACACUUAAAUUUUAUGGGAGUCCUAUCACCCUCUGAACUAUUUAAAAAUGAAAUAAUUAUACCGUUAAAAAGCCAUAACCACCAAAUCUAUGGUGGAAUGUGAGUUUCACCACAUCAUCAAAUUAUUAUUUUUUUAAUUCUUUUCUUAUAUAUUCUUACCUAUCUCUUGAAAUACUGAAGAUAUUUUCACCAUUUUCACCAUUACUAGAACACCACGAGUCCAUUAAAAUUGGGUCUUUAAGGAAUAAUAAUAAUUUCAGAGCUCGUUCAAAGAUAUUUGGAUUUUGCUCAUUUGAAACCUAAAAAUCAAAUUAGAAAAAGUUGAAGGGGGAAGAGAAGACGAAUAUGAUGGAAUAUUGCCAUUAAUGGUGGUCACCGAAGAUAAGAAAUCCUCUCAAGAAAGAUGAGGAAGAGGAGCCUACCAUGUCUUCCACAUUGUCAUCUAUAGCGACGACAAUUUCAAAAAAGAAGACACCGAUUAUACGACAAUUGAUGGACUAACUAGAUUAAUAGCUAGAAUUUUUGAGAUAUAGUUGAUUAAUUGAGAUUUGAUAUUAGUAAUUAAAGGAUAUAUUAGAAAAAAUUAUUUUUUUCUGGUUGGCCCAAUCAGAUUCAAAGUAAACUCAUAUUAAUUUUUCUCAAAUCAGAUCCAAAGCAUCUUGGGGUGAUAUAAAUAUAUGUCAUCAAUUGAUUUAGGUUGAUUGAUUUUGCAAGAGCUUUAUAAAUGUUUGAAAAUUUGUUUGGAGUCGACGAAAGUGAAGAUGGUGGCUGUAAGACUUAGGUGAUUGAGAGAUUUGUUUAUAUUGAUGGACAAGAAAGAAAACAAACAAAUAAUUAAAAAUGCAUAUAUUUGUUGAAAAAAGAUAUUCCAUCUGUUUCACAAAAAAUGAUUUGGUUUGACUUGACAUGAAGUUUAAGUAAAUAAAGAAGACUUUUGAAUCUUGUGGUCGUAAAUCAAAGUUAUGUCAAAUGUACAAAAUUAUCUUUUAAUUUUAUGGUCUUAAAUAUGGCACGUGGAAAGCUAAAGUUAAAAUGUUAGAGGUCAUUCUUUUGGAAAUAAACUAAAAUGGAAAGAAUGUCACUCUUUUUUAAAUAAAAAAGAGUUUAACUACUAUCCACCGACGGUGGACAAAAAAUUACACGGGCAUAUUAUUUUUGGAAAUAUUUAAUUUUUUAAUUAAUAUAUUUUAAUAUUAUAAUAUUAAAAUAAAAAUAAUAACAGAGUGUUAUAUGGUAACUUGAAUUAUAAAUUAAUUGUACAAAUUUAAUUAGGAUUCUUAUUUGUCUUACCAAAACAAAAAAUACAUAAUUUCUUGUGUUUUCUUAUUGGAAAGCACUUCAAUCCUUCAAAGAAAAUCAUUGCCAACAUAUUUUUUUUUAUAAGAACCGGUACUUGUUGCCAUUGAAGCAAUGCUAGCAAAAUAUUAAUAAGAAACUAUUCCAGAAACAUAAAGUGCAACAAAAUCAACAUAUUCAAACUUAUAAGAGUAAGCAAAACAAAAUCAAACACUAUUAAAUACGGCCCAUGAUUUAAUCACAAUUGCAUGCUUGGUUACAUUUUUUUAAACGAAAUCCUUCUUUUGAACAAACAAACUCUUGACCAAUAAUGGAUUUAUCUUUUCUUGAUCUACUAAUUCGAUUUUUGCGCACACUAAAACCAUUACGAUGAGCAUAAUCAAGAUAAAAUUUAAAUCUAGUAUCAAGUGAUUGAAAUUCCAUACCGAUGUAAGACUCUCUUAAUUCUUGCUCACCUAGUUGAGGAACAAAAGAUACAACUGCAUUCAUGUUGCUUUCUAUAUCCUCCAAGGAAUCUUCAAUUCCUUCUGCAUUUUGCUCUUCUAAAUUAGAGAUUUCAAAAGUUUCCUGCAAUACACAAUUAUUAGAUAUUAGACUAAUAGGGUAAGUUAGCUUUAAAAUUUUAAAUAUUUUUCAUGGCUAAUGUAUUGAACUUCUUCAAUUUGCUAAAAAGUUCUUAAACGUAUUCUUUAAAUAUCUUCAUCACUACAAAACAUAAAUUUCUUCAUACAUUAAAACAAGAAUAUUUCUUUGAAACGUUUAUUCAUGUUGCGAAAAAGAUUUAAUAAGUUAUGUAAAAAAAGAUAUACGAGGAAAACGCUACCAUGAUAAUUGUUUCAAAUUGCUUCAAUGGUGGAUAGUUGGUUGCUUCAAUGGUUUAUGUAGAAAAAGAAGAACGUUAAUCCAACUAAGAAAACACAAGAAAUUAUGUAUUUUUUAUUUUUGGUAAGACAAAUAAGAAUCCUAAUUAAAUUUGUACAAUUAAUUUAUAAUUCAAGUUACCAUAUAACACUAUGUUAUUAUUUUUAUUUUAAUAUUAAUAAUAUUAAAAUAUAUUAAUUAAAAAAAUUAAAUAUUUCCAAAAAUAAAAUGUCCGUGUAAUUUUUUGUCCACCGUCGGUGGAUAGCAGUUAAACUCUAAAGAUCAAAUAAAGUUUUAAUAACAGAUUUUGGUGCUCACUCUCCAGAGAGAGUCAAAUACAUUUAGGGAACUAAUUAUUUCAAUUUUGAAUAGUACAAGGGAUGAUUAGACCCCCGUGAAAUUUAAUUGUAUAGCGUUGAGGGCAUUUAAUCAUUUUCUCUUUGAAACAGAGAAUAUAUAUCAUUACGGAUCUAAUCUCCAAAAGAUGAAGAGUGAGUAAACCCUGAAUAAUUUGCGACAUUUAAUACGUUGUUUACUUUAAUUAAUGGACUUAUAAUAAUAAGUUGGAAAGGACCGAAAAAGUUUAAUAUAUAUUGCAUGGUGAAUUUGUACCUUCAUGAAUUUAUUUAAAAGUAUACUUUUUAUAGGCAUUUGUGAUGGUGAUGAUGUUAUAAGUAUAUUUCUCAAUAAUUAGCAUUAUACGUGUAAGAAGUGGUUAGAAAAAGGAGGUACCUAGAUGAAUGAGCACACAAUAGCGUAUACUAUAUUACUCGAAUUUGAUAUAUAUGUGUAAUGCAUAUUAAAAGAACCCUAGUAAAAGUAGACCAAAAAUAUUGAAUAGACGAGAGAGUACAUAUACCAAAUAAGAUAGAUGUGUAUUAUCAAAGAUUAGAUUAAUACAACAUAGCCAAUCGUGAAAUUUCGAUACAAGACUCGACUACACACGAUUUUAAAAGAAACACAGGAAAACAGAAAGUAACAACUGAUAUAAUAUAAUCAAUCGUCAAAUUUCGAAACAAGACUCGAGUACAUACGAUUUUAAACGAAACACAGAAAAAAGAGAAAGUGACAACUGAUACAACAUAGAAAGAAAGGAUCCAUAAGCAAGAUCAAUGCUAUCUAUCUUAUUCUUAAUUCUCCUCAUGAAACCAAAUUCUGAUGAUCAGCUUUACUGAACUCUGC